RNAcentral lists this long non-coding RNA (1458 nucleotides) under Gossypium barbadense (sea-island cotton). RNAcentral's name for it is "long non-coding RNA (GBAR_LNC000710)". Lineage: Eukaryota; Viridiplantae; Streptophyta; Magnoliopsida; Malvales; Malvaceae. The record is from RNAcentral.
AUCUCAACCCAACAGAAGCCAAGAUCUCGGGCAAAUCGGAUGGCUCACACACCUGCGAGAGCUUUUGCCGAUAAGGUACAUGGUAUGUUUUCUUCCCAGAAACAAGCUGACCCUAAUAACAGCCCUUCAGAAUUUCUAAUAACUAUCCCUGUGCUGGCAGCCUGCAAAUCGGCGAAGAACCCUGCAUCAAAGUUUACGCGAGCCCAUGGGUCUACAGGGGUCUUCCAGAGCGACGAGCCAACAGUCACAAUAUCCUCUCUAGGAAUCGAGAGGGAAUCCAGCUCCCGCAGAUAACCCAGAAUAGAGAAAAGUAUUGAUCGAGUAGGCAGGUAAACGCCCUCAUGAAUUAGCUUGUUUCUGGAAGUCUAGAGAGUCCAGAUAGUGAUAAUGGAGAGUUUUAUAUGCUUCGUAGUAGUAGCGAAUAUUUGACUAAUCCAUUGAAUGCUUCAGAUUCCGGAACUGUGUGCUAAUAGAAACCCAAGCCGUGCCAAACCUCCUGGACCACUGGACAGUCCCGACAGACAUGCAGAAUGGUCUCAAGCCCACUACCAUAGCGUGGGCACAUACGAUCAACCCCGAUUCUCCGGCGAAACAGAUUAUCCUUUGUAGGGAGAAAAUUACUUAUGUAUCUCCAACAUGUAACUUUCAUUUUUUCAGGCACUUGAGCCCCCCAUAGUUGUUUGUAAAGAUUUUGUGUAUGCGGCGUAACACCACUGUAACGAUCACCUUCCCCCCAAAAAACCACGCAAUAGUAAUCUGUAUCCGCUACGGACAGAAUAAUCUCCAGUGCUAUCUGGGAACCAUCUCCAUCGUUCCGAUAAAUCAUGAGAUGCCAACGGGAUACGUCGAAUAAGGUUAACAAUCGGGUAAGGAAAAACAGUCCCUAACAAGCCAACAUUCCACUCGCCCCUAUCUAUGUUAAUCAAAUUUGUCACCCUGUCAAUCCCAGUAACCCUAUCCAUCUGUAUUUUUCGGGGCCGUUCACCAAGGAGCCAAGCAUCAUCCCAUACGAAAUCGAUUGCCCAAUACCAACCUGCCAACCACAGCCCAUCUGCAGCAGACCCUUGGCGGCCUAAAUGCUUCGCCACACAAAGAAAGGUUGAUUCCCUAACUCUUAACUCCAUAAAAUUGCUAUGCGGAAAAUAUUUAGCUUUAAGUACUCUGGCCGUUAAAGUAUUCGGAGUUGUCAAUAGACGCCAACCCUGUUUGGCAAGUAAAGCAAUAUUCAACUUUGACGAGCUAUGAAAUCCCAACCGACCAGCCUCUUCCAAAUCGCAUAACCCCGCCCAAGAGCACCAAUGGAUCCCUCUCCUCGUGGCUGACUUAUAAAGCUAUUUUUAUAAAGCUCAACUUUAUAUAUAUUAUAUAGUUUUUUUUUUUGUAAAAGAAGAUAGGAAAAAAAAAUAGAAUCACUUUAGUGUAUAUUUUUCUUAGUCAAUGGUUUGGCAAUUCGGGAGA